This 371-nucleotide ribosomal RNA is filed under the name uncultured bacterium. RNAcentral's name for it is "bacterial SSU rRNA". It matches the Rfam family "Bacterial small subunit ribosomal RNA", at positions 527 to 896 of the family's 1533-position model. The record is from RNAcentral.
AUAGGGUGCGAGCGUUAAUCGGAAUUACUGGGCGUAAAGUGUGCGCAGGCGGCCUCGCAAGUCGAGUGUGAAAUCCCCGGGCUUAACUUGGGAAUUGCGCUCGAAACUACGGGGCUUGAGUGUGGCAGAGGGGGGUGGAAUUCCACGUGUAGCGGUGAAAUGCGUAGAGAUGUGGAGGAACACCAAUGGCGAAGGCAGCCCCCUGGGCCAACACUGACGCUCAUGCACGAAAGCGUGGGGAGCAAACAGGAUUAGAUACCCUGGUAGUCCACGCCCUAAACGAUGAUGACUAGUUGCUGGGGGAGUUAAAUCCCUUAGUAACGCAGCUAACGCGCGAAGUCAUCCGCCUGGGGAGUACGGUCGCAAGAUUA